CAGUCGCCACGGUAAUACGAAGGGGGCUAGCGUUGCUCGGAAUUACUGGGCGUAAAGGGCGCGUAGGCGGACAGUUCAGUCGGGGGUGAAAGCCCGGGGCUCAACCUCGGAAUUGCCUUCGAUACUGGCUGUCUUGAGUAUGAGAGAGGUGUGUGGAACUCCGAGUGUAGAGGUGAAAUUCGUAGAUAUUCGGAAGAACACCAGUGGCGAAGGCGACACACUGGCUCAUUACUGACGCUGAGGCGCGAAAGCGUGGGGAGCAAACAGGAUUAGAGACCCGCGUAGUCCCUGUCUCUUAUCC
RNAcentral lists this ribosomal RNA (301 nucleotides) under uncultured bacterium. Its description in RNAcentral is "partial 16S ribosomal RNA". It matches the Rfam family "Bacterial small subunit ribosomal RNA", at positions 509 to 809 of the family's 1533-position model. The record is from RNAcentral.